This 624-nucleotide ribosomal RNA is filed under the name Mucor circinelloides. RNAcentral describes it as "eukaryotic LSU rRNA". The stretch from base 234 to 386 matches the Rfam family "5.8S ribosomal RNA". The record is from RNAcentral. Lineage: Eukaryota; Fungi; Mucoromycota; Mucoromycetes; Mucorales; Mucoraceae.
GGGUAACCUGCGGAAGGAUCAUUAAAUAAUCAAUAAUUUUGGCUUGUCCAUCAUUAUCUAUUUACUGUGAACUGUAUUAUUACUUGACGCUUGAGGGAUGUUCCAAUGCUAUAAGGAUAGGCACUGGAAAUGUUAACCGAGUCAUAAUCAAGCUUAGGCUUGGUAUCCUAUUAUUAUUUACCAAAAGAAUUCAGAAUUAAUAUUGUAACAUAGACGUAAAAAAUCUAUAAAACAACUUUUAACAACGGAUCUCUUGGUUCUCGCAUCGAUGAAGAACGUAGCAAAGUGCGAUAACUAGUGUGAAUUGCAUAUUCAGUGAAUCAUCGAGUCUUUGAACGCAACUUGCGCUCAUUGGUAUUCCAAUGAGCACGCCUGUUUCAGUAUCAAAACAAACCCUCUAUCCAACUUUUGUUGAAUAGGAUGACUGAGAGUCUCUUGAUCUAUUCUGAUCUUGAACCUCUUGAAAUGUACAAAGGCCUGAUCUUGUUUGAAUGCCUGAACUUUUUUUUAAUAUAAAGAGAAGCUCUUGCGAUAAAACUGUGCUGGGGCCUCCCAAAUAACACAUCUUUAAAUUUGAUCUGAAAUCAGGUGGGAUUACCCGCUGAACUUAAGCAUAUCAAUAGC